UGGCGAACGGGUGAGUAACGCGUGAGGAACCUGCCUCAAAGAGGGGGACAACAGUUGGAAACGACUGCUAAUACCGCAUAAGCCCACGGCUCGGCAUCGAGCAGAGGGAAAAGGAGCAAUCCGCUUUGAGAUGGCCUCGCGUCCGAUUAGCUAGUUGGUGAGGUAACGGCCCACCAAGGCGACGACCGGUAGCCGGACUGGGAGGUUGAACGGCCACAUUGGGACUGAGACACGGCCCAG
Molecule: ribosomal RNA, 240 nt
Filed under: uncultured bacterium
Lineage: Bacteria
Description: partial 16S ribosomal RNA
Rfam family: Bacterial small subunit ribosomal RNA
Source: RNAcentral